GUUGAAUAGUUCUGGAUGCCAAUCUCAGCUAAGCUCCUCUUAACGUCCCCCAGUGCCAUGAGAACAUCUUUUGUAGGGAUGACACCCUGUUCCCCUGCCAGUGUCAUUAGCAAGUGCUUGUCGUUCUCAUUGGGUUUGCUCAGAGAGAUCAGCCAGUGGUCCUGCAGUCCAUCUGUCUGUCUGGAGAAAGCAUCCUCCACCAGCGCCAACAGCUGAGGACCCCUCUCCAG
RNAcentral lists this long non-coding RNA (230 nucleotides) under Gallus gallus (chicken). The record is from RNAcentral. Lineage: Eukaryota; Metazoa; Chordata; Aves; Galliformes; Phasianidae.